This 404-nucleotide ribosomal RNA is filed under the name Fusobacteriota bacterium. RNAcentral describes it as "Fusobacteria bacterium partial 16S ribosomal RNA". It matches the Rfam family "Bacterial small subunit ribosomal RNA", at positions 355 to 776 of the family's 1533-position model. The record is from RNAcentral. Lineage: Bacteria; Fusobacteriati; Fusobacteriota.
UGGGGAAUAUUGCACAAUGGAGGGAACUCUGAUGCCGCGACGCCGCGUGAGUGAUGAAGGACUUCGUUUCGUAAAACUCUGUUCUAUGGGAAGAAAAGGACUGUACCAUAGGAGAAAGCUCCGGCCAAAUACGUGCCAGCAGCCGCGGUAAUACGUAUGGAGCGAGCGUGGUUCGGAAUUAUUGGGCGUAAAGGGUGCGCAGGCGGCUUUACAAGUUGGUUGUGAAAUAUUGUGGCUCAAUCACAAACGUGCAUCCAAAACUGCAAAGCUGGGGUUAAGGAGAGGUAGGUGGAAUUCCUGGUGUAGCGGUGGAAUGCUUAGAUAUCCGGAGGAAUACCGUUGGCGAGGGCGACUUACUGGACUUAUACUAACGCUCAGGCACGAAGGCGUGGGGAGCAAACAGG